GGUUGAAGGUGUUAUUGGUCAGCUUGAGCUUGUGGAAGGAUAUCAGAUACUGCAUCCCCAGCAGCAGGAGAAUUCAGCAGCACGUUCUGCACCUUGGAGUUCAGACCCGUGACUUUGCAGCACGGAAACACAAGCCUGGGAAACUCAGACAUAAAUUGCCAAUAAACACAUUUAAUGAAGGCAGACAGCGAAUGCAGGCCUGGGUAUAUAGGAUCGGGUCAUUCUGCUUCAUUCCUGCACUCUACCUGCCGGAUUUGGUAAUCACCAUCUCUGUUCCUAUUUGCCGGAACCUGUCCCACGGAUCCCGGACCUGCAGGCCUCUCGUUGGGGGCCCGGCUCCAUCCCAAGGCGGUGUCGCUCCAUGCCGCCCAGCGGCACACAAAUUGGGUUUUUAAUACCCACACCGUUUUUGCAUCUAUUACAUAAGCAAUUCCACCACAAUAUAUCAUUAUAUAAAACGAUUAUGCUGAAAACAUAUUUUUUGCAAUCCAUUACAGGACACAAUAUUGCCUUUACGAAGGAAUAAUGUAAAGAGAUCAAGUGCUUAAGGUCUGUUACUCAUAAUCCAUAAUUUGUGCAUAUGCAUAAAUGACAUAACCAUCCAUGACAAUGUUAAUUAAAUUAGAGAAUGUGGAAUAUCUCUCUGUCCAUGGAAACUUACCCGUUGGGCACUAAGUAGAGUCCUUUAGCUGAGGUUUCAUGGGAAAGGGACAGUCACUGAAUGCCCUUUCCUCGUAUAAAACAUGCCGUAGCACUUCCUGCUGCAGAUUACUAAUUUCCACUGGACAUCUGAUGGAUGCAGAAAUAUGCUUAAUCCCGAAAACCUUCUCUGGUGAUGUGGUGCUGGUGUGGGAAGCUGGUCGGGGUGGUUGGGCUUUCUUUGAUGUCCCGUUCCUGUCUCUCACAGUCUGGGAUUGAUUCGGGCCACAUCAGAGGCACGGCUGCACUUCAAAACCCCUCCUGCAGGCGUUAAUCGUUAAUCACCUGAGCAGCUGUCCUGCCAUCACUACAGGAAGCCGGGCCAGCAGACUGCUUUCCUGGCAGAGUUCACGUCUCUCCCUACUGCCUCAUUUCAUCAGUCCUGCUGUCCUGUUCCGGUCUGUCAUGGCUCUUUCUGGCACGGUGUGAUGGUGCUUCCCGAUCCGGGAUCUCCUUUGGGAAAGAAGAAGUAGAAAUAAACACGUAUAUUCAUUUCCCAAACAGCACCUAGCAUAUUGCUAUACAUACUAUAUAUACUAUACAUACAUGCUAUACAGACAAGUAUGCUUAGGGCAGGUCAUGAAGCGUACACUACCUCGGACUGACACAUUGUUCACAUUGUACUCAGACACUCACACUGUAAGAGGAUGGCUGAUUCUUUUUGUUUGUUGUUCUUAUUUCUUAUUUAUUAC
Molecule: long non-coding RNA, 1391 nt
Organism: Paramormyrops kingsleyae
Lineage: Eukaryota; Metazoa; Chordata; Actinopteri; Osteoglossiformes; Mormyridae
Source: RefSeq, a predicted model, not a curated record